UUAAGUGACUAAGCGUACAAGGUGGAUGCCUUGGCAAUCAGAGGCGAAGAAGGACGUGCUAAUCUGCGAAAAGCUUGGAUGAGUCGAUAAGAGGCGUUUAAUCCAAGAUAUCCGAAUGGGGAAACCCAGUAGAUGAAGAAUCUACUAUCAACAAGUGAAUUCAUAGCUUGUUGAGGCAAACCGGGAGAACUGAAACAUCUAAGUACCCCGAGGAAAAGAAAUCAACCGAGAUUUCGUCAGUAGCGGCGAGCGAAAGCGAAAGAGCCAGUAAGUGAUAGCAAUAUAGUUAGGAGAAUGUGUUGGGAAGCACAAUCAAAGAGGGUGAUAAUCCCGUAUCUAAAAACCAUAUUGUGGUACUAAGCUAACGAGAAGUAGGGCGGGACACGUGAUAUCCUGUUUGAAGAAGGGGGGACCAUCCUCCAAGGCUAAAUACUCCUGAUUGACCGAUAGUGAACCAGUACUGUGAAGGAAAGGCGAAAAGAACCCCGGUGAGGGGAGUGAAAUAGAACCUGAAACCUUGUACGUACAAGCAGUGGGAGCCCCAUCACUUAAUCCGAUUGGAAGGUGAUGAAAAGCAACCGCACUUAAACAAUGGUAAGAGGAGCGAAGCGAGUCAAACCACCCAAAAGAAGCAGUGGGAUUAAGUGAUGGGGUGACUGCGUACCUUUUGUAUAAUGGGUCAGCGACUUAUAUUUUGUAGCGAGGUUAACCGAAUAGGGGAGCCGAAGGGAAACCGAGUCUUAACUGGGCGUUGAGUUGCAGGGUAUAGACCCGAAACCCGGUGAUCUAGCCAUGGGCAGGUUGAAGGUUGGGUAACACUAACUGGAGGACCGAACCGACUAAUGUUGAAAAAUUAGCGGAUGACUUGUGGCUGGGGGUGAAAGGCCAAUCAAACCGGGAGAUAGCUGGUUCUCCCCGAAAUCUAUUUAGGUAGAGCCUUGAGGUGACACCUUUGGGGGUAGAGCACUGUUUCGGCUAGGGGUCCAUCCCGGAUUACCAACCCGAUGCAAACUACGAAUACCAAAGAGUGAUACUCAGGAGACACACGGCGGGUGCUAACGUCCGUCGUGGAGAGGGAAACAACCCAGACCGCCAGCUAAGGUCCCCAAGUCUAUAUUAAGUGGGAAACGAAGUGGGAAGGCUUAGACAGCUAGGAUGUUGGCUUAGAAGCAGCCAUCAUUUAAAGAAAGCGUAAUAGCUCACUAGUCGAGUCGGUCUGCGCGGAAGAUGUAACGGGGCUGAAAUAUAGCACCGAAGCUGCGGCAUCAGGCGUAUCACUAAUACGCCUGUUGGGUAGGGGAGCGUUGUGUAAGCGGAUGAAGGUUCAUCGAGAGGUGGGCUGGACGUAUCACAAGUGCGAAUGCUGACAUAAGUAACGAUAAAACGGGUGAAAAACCCGUUCGCCGGAAGACCAAGGGUUCCUGUCCAACGUUAAUCGGGGCAGGGUAAGUCGGCUCCUAAGGCGAGGCUGAAAAGCGUAGUCGAUGGGAAACAGGUUAAUAUUCCUGUACUUGGUAAAGCUGCGAUGUGGGGACGGAGUAGGUUAGGUUAUCGCACUGUUGGAUAUGUGCGUUUAAGUUGGUAGGUGGGAAGUUUAGGCAAAUCCGGACUUCCUUAACACAGAGAGAUGAUGACGAGGCUCUACGGAGCUGAAGUAACUGAUACCACACUUCCAGGAAAAGCCACUAAGCGAAAGGCUUUACUAAACCGUACUGAAAACCGACACAGGUGGUCAGGUAGAGAAUACUCAGGCGCUUGAGAGAACUCGGGUGAAGGAACUAGGCAAAAUAGCACCGUAACUUCGGGAGAAGGUGCGCCGGCGUAGAUUGUAAGGGCUAGCCCCUGAAGGUUGAACCGGUCGAAGUGACCAGCUGGCUGCAACUGUUUAUUAAAAACACAGCACUCUGCAAACACGAAAGUGGAGGUAUAGGGUGUGAUGCCUGCCCGGUGCUGGAAGGUUAAUUGAUGGUGUCAUCGCAAGAGAAGCACCUGAUCGAAGCCCCAGUAAACGGCGGCCGUAACUAUAACGGUCCUAAGGUAGCGAAAUUCCUUGUCGGGUAAGUUCCGACCUGCACGAAUGGCAUAAUGAUGGCCAGGCUGUCUCCACCCGAGACUCAGUGAAAUUGAAAUCGCCGUGAAGAUGCGGUGUACCCGCGGCUAGACGGAAAGACCCCGUGAACCUUUACUAUAGCUUGACACUGAACAUUGAAUUUUGAUGUGUAGGAUAGGUGGGAGACUAAGAAGAUGAUACGCCAGUAUUGUUGGAGUCGACCUUGAAAUACCACCCUUUAACGUUUGAUGUUCUAACGAAGAUUGCGGAACGUGGUCUCGGACAGUGUCUGGUGGGUAGUUUGACUGGGGCGGUCUCCUCCCAAAGCGUAACGGAGGAGCACGAAGGUUUGCUAAUCACGGUCGGACAUCGUGAGGUUAGUGCAAUGGUAUAAGCAAGCUUAACUGCGAGACAGACAAGUCGAGCAGGUACGAAAGUAGGUCAUAGUGAUCCGGUGGUUCUGAAUGGAAGGGCCAUCGCUCAACGGAUAAAAGGUACUCCGGGGAUAACAGGCUGAUACCGCCCAAGAGUUCAUAUCGACGGCGGUGUUUGGCACCUCGAUGUCGGCUCAUCACAUCCUGGGGCUGAAGUAGGUCCCAAGGGUAUGGCUGUUCGCCAUUUAAAGUGGUACGCGAGCUGGGUUUAGAACGUCGUGAGACAGUUCGGUCCCUAUCUGCCGUGGGCGUAGGAUGAUUGAUUGGGGCUGCUCCUAGUACGAGAGGACCGGAGUGGACGCAUCACUGGUGUUCCAGUUGUCUCGCCAGAGGCAUUGCUGGGUAGCUAAAUGCGGAAGAGAUAAGUGCUGAAAGCAUCUAAGCACGAAACUUGCCAAGAGAUGAGUCAUCCCUGACUUUAAGUCAGUAAGGGUUGUUGUAGACUACGACGUAGAUAGGUCAGGUGUGUAAGUGUAGUGAUACAUUGAGCUAACAGAUACUAAUUGCCCGAGAGGCUUAACUAU
This 3008-nucleotide ribosomal RNA is filed under the name Haemophilus aegyptius. RNAcentral's name for it is "bacterial LSU rRNA". It matches the Rfam family "Bacterial large subunit ribosomal RNA". The record is from RNAcentral. Lineage: Bacteria; Pseudomonadati; Pseudomonadota; Gammaproteobacteria; Pasteurellales; Pasteurellaceae.